Molecule: long non-coding RNA, 1044 nt
Filed under: Macaca nemestrina (pig-tailed macaque)
Lineage: Eukaryota; Metazoa; Chordata; Mammalia; Primates; Cercopithecidae
Description: lncRNA (ENSMNEG00000045820.1)
Source: RNAcentral
CCUAAUCCCACCAUUGUUACCAUUGAAACGAGGAAUAUGAAAAUAAACAAAGUGGUUGGAUUUAUCCUAUUUUUUUUAGCAAGCAUCAAAAAUGCAUUUAGGCCAACAAGAACCAAAGUUCACAAAACAGGAAAUUUGAUUGCGUCAAACUGAAAAAAAAAACCCUCCACCGACAUCCCACUGUCCAGCUUCCUAUUGGCUUCAUGCCUUCGGUUGCAUUCUGCAUGUUCCCCACAUUCAUUUCAUUCACGCUGUUGCUUUUGUUUUUGAGGUUCCAUUGUCUCUAAAUCUCUCCUGACAAUAGGAUGGGGGUGGCAUGAAUGAAUGAAUGAAGUACUGAAUAGGAUAUUUGGGCUAUGUAAGAAGGGAUUAAGAGGGUAGAAAAUCAACUUUGCCCUAUUUCUUCUGCCACUCAUUUAUUUCGCUCUGUCCUUGGCCUCUGUGAGUUCUGCUCCUCCCGAGUUUCCAUUGUCUGCUUAGGUUUUCUCCCUUUCCCGCAGGCUCCUGCUGACUCUGUGUGGUUGCUUCUGAGACAAGAGUUGCUGACUCUCCCAAUCUACACUGUAACCAGCCAGGGAGAAAGCACAGCUCAUUUUAAUGCAGUUCAUUUAGUCUACAUAACCUUGGCUUCCCCAUUACACUCUUCCUGAAGACUCAUGUCUUUACUUCAGUUCCCUGGGCACUGCCAACUCUGCAGUGUGAAGGUGAUAUCAGACGGCAUGGAAAUCUCCUAAGCCAGCUCCCCAAAUUGUCACCCUCUUCCUUAAGGUGGCUUGCUCUGAGCUCGGCGUCCGCAUUUUCCCACAUCCUGGAAAGCACGGUAGUUCCUGUUCCAAUCACGGCAAUGACUUACUCAGUAAAGGUGAGCACCCUGGUACUCACCCUGUGUCCGGAAGGCAGUGCCAAGGUGAAUUGUUCUAAGCAAUCACUAGAAGUCGCAGGGAUUGCCCCAACCACGAUGCUGGAGAAAUGCCCAGAACUCACCCGGCUAAAGAAUCAACUUGCCUCCUCCACCUCUCCUCCCAGAUUCCAUCGAAAGCCAAG